GACGAACGCUGGCGGCGUGCUUAACACAUGCAAGUCGAACGGAAAGGCCCUGCUUGCAGGGUGCUCGAGUGGCGAACGGGUGAGUAACACGUGGGUGAUCUGCCCCUUACUUUGGGAUAAGCCUGGGAAACUGGGUCUAAUACUGGAUAGGACCAUGCUGUAGGUGGUGUGGUGGAAAGAUUUUUUCGGUAAGGGAUGAGCUCGCGGCCUAUCAGCUUGUUGGUGGGGUAAUGGCCUACCAAGGCGUCGACGGGUAGCCGGCCUGAGAGGGUGGACGGCCACACUGGGACUGAGAUACGGCCAAGACUCCUACGGGAGGCAGCAGUGGGGAAUAUUGCACAAUGGGCGCAAGCCUGAUGCAGCGACGCCGCGUGGGGGAUGACGGCCUUCGGGUUGUAAACUCCUUUCAGCCAUGACGAAGCCUCUUUUGGGGUGACGGUAGUGGUAGAAGAAGCACCGGCUAACUACGUG
This 471-nucleotide ribosomal RNA is filed under the name uncultured bacterium. RNAcentral describes it as "partial 16S ribosomal RNA". It matches the Rfam family "Bacterial small subunit ribosomal RNA", at positions 28 to 507 of the family's 1533-position model. The record is from RNAcentral.